GAUGAACGCUAGCGGGAGGCUUAACACAUGCAAGUCGAGGGGCAGCAUAAUGUAGCAAUACGUUGAUGGCGACCGGCGCACGGGUGAGUAACGCGUAUGUAACCUACCCUGUACAGGGGGAUAGCCCGGAGAAAUUCGGAUUAAUACCCCAUAAAGAUAUUUAGAGGCAUCUUUAGAUAUUUAAAGUUUCGACGGUACGGGAUGGGCAUGCGUGACAUUAGCUAGUUGGUAAGGUAACGGCUUACCAAGGCUACGAUGUCUAGGGGUCCUGAGAGGGUGAUCCCCCACACUGGUACUGAGACACGGACCAGACACCUACGGGUGGCAG
This 328-nucleotide ribosomal RNA is filed under the name uncultured Bacteroidota bacterium. RNAcentral's name for it is "bacterial SSU rRNA". It matches the Rfam family "Bacterial small subunit ribosomal RNA", at positions 28 to 351 of the family's 1533-position model. The record is from RNAcentral. Lineage: Bacteria; Pseudomonadati; Bacteroidota.